This 692-nucleotide ribosomal RNA is filed under the name Inocybe olympiana. RNAcentral describes it as "eukaryotic LSU rRNA". It matches the Rfam family "Eukaryotic large subunit ribosomal RNA", at positions 1 to 653 of the family's 3401-position model. The record is from RNAcentral. Lineage: Eukaryota; Fungi; Basidiomycota; Agaricomycetes; Agaricales; Inocybaceae.
UUGACCUCAAAUCAGGUAGGACUACCCGCUGAACUUAAGCAUAUCAAUAAGCGGAGGAAAAGAAACUAACGAGGAUUCCCCUACUCACUGCGAGUGAAGCGGGAAAAGCUCAAAUUUGAAAUCUGGCGGUUCUUUGACCGUCCGAGUUGUAAUCUAGAGAAGUGUUACCAGUGCUGGACCGUGUACAAGUCUUCUGGAAUGGAGCAUCACAGAGGGUGAGAAUCCCGUCUUUGACAUGGACUGCCAGUGCGACUUGAUGGUGCGCUCUCAAAGAGUCGAGUUGUUUGGGAAUGCAGCUCAAAAUGGGUGGUAAAUGCCAUCUAAAGCUAAAUAUUGGCGAGAGACCGAUAGCGAACAAGUACCGUGAGGGAAAGAUGAAAAGAACUUUGGAAAGAGAGUUAAACAGUACGUGAAAUUGCUGAAAGGGAAACGCUUGAAGUCAGUCGCGUCUGCUAGAAAUCAGCCAUUUGCUCUUGCUUGGUGUACUUUCUGGUUGGACGGGUCAGCAUCAAUUUUGACCGCUGGAUAAAGUCUUUUUGGGAAUGUGGCAUCCCUUUGGAUGUGUUAUAGCCCAUGGUCGCAUACAGUGGUUGGGAUUGAGGAACUCAGCACGCCGCAAGGCUCGGGUCAUUUUUUUGACCACGUUUUUAAAGUGCUUAGGAUGCUGGCAUAAUGGCUUUAAUCGACCCGUC